Mirounga angustirostris (Northern elephant seal) is the source of this 8570-nucleotide long non-coding RNA. RefSeq lists it as uncharacterized. Lineage: Eukaryota; Metazoa; Chordata; Mammalia; Carnivora; Phocidae. The transcript is spliced from 4 exons. The record is from RefSeq and is a predicted model, not a curated record.
GCCAGCUGAAAUACAAAAGUACAAGAUUUUUAAAAAAAAAAUUUUUUUUUUUUUUUAAAGAGGGAAGUGGACCUAUAGAUAAGGAGACUUACCAGCCAGAUACACCUGUAAAUUCAUUUGGAUCAUGAGUCUAAGAAUCAAUUGUGCGGCUUUUUAAAAUCUGGUAGAUGUGAACAUUGAUUGGCAAUAUGGCAGAGUUACUGUUUAAAACUUCUGGUUGUGAAAAGGCUGUUGCGGUUAUGUUUUAAAAAGGAAAAGAGUCUUAGAGACACAUACUGCAGGUUUUAUGGUCGAAAUGAUGUCUGAGAUUUGCUGAAAAAAUACCCAGCGUGGCCGGCUGCGGGGAGCCAAGAAUGAAAGUUUCUGAAAUAUGAAGCAGCUCAGAGUUUCUCUGAAACAUAAGCCUCACACGGCACAAGUGAGCCUCCUUGGGGACUUCUCCCGUCAAGAAAGAGCACCGCAAUGAGGGGGGCUGUGUCCAGUGCCCCCAGGUCCUUCAAAAGCAGGACAGAAUUCUGACCUUGAAGCCAGAGGCAGAGGACCAUGCUGCCAGACGGUGACCUCAGGAGUAAGGACAAGGCACUCAGCUCAGAUCAGGAACUUGCUGAAAGAAGAUCCCACGGGUGACUUCACCAGAGCUGGGAGAUACCUCAGAAUGUUCCAGAAUCUUAGACCAGCAUUAGGGAGCCUCCAGACAGGAGGCCAAGCAGCUGCCUUGCCCAAGAGAAGAGUUUCAAGCAGGAGAGGGAAGAAGCAGCCAUGACGGUGACAGAAGUGACCAGAACUCCAGGCCAGACUUAAAGGAAGCUCUUUGAGGAGGAGCCACAUCCUGUCUUUGCUGUUCCCCAUGGCAUGUCUGAGCACGGCGGGACUUGGGUUGGAGACCGGGUGCGGCUGUGGCCACUGCGGUCGAAGCCAACGGAUUUAUGGUUCCGCGCAGUCGUGGGCAGAGAUGAGCCCGUGACCGAAGACGUGGCCUGCCUUCUCGGGGGACGGUUGCUGCCGCACUCUUCCAGGUCACGCAGGAGGAAGGUGAUCUCGUCCUUGUUGCCACUCCUUGGCCCCGACACCCGCCCACGCCAGGCAGGCCAGCCAGAUUCUCCCUGCGGCCAGCCAUGCACGGUGCCAAUCCUGGGAGUGACUUCAGGGAGGGGGAGGCGGGGGGCAAGCAAGUGAUCGGUAUUGUGGCAGAGCUGUCCAUGCAGUGUCCUGGGUAACUCUGGCUGGCGUAGGGACCACCCUCAGCAUGAACCCGCAGCUCUUUGAGGACACGGCCUGGGUCUGAAGCCUCUCUGUUUCCACGGCGCCUGGCUUAGCACCUGGCACGUAGAAAGCCUUCACCUGGCGUGGAGUAGGGGAGUGCUUCUGUAGUUACCAGCAGCCCGGGAGUUCAUGGAGGGACCGAGUUCAGAUGUUAGUGACUGUCCUCAAGUGUCCGCCCCCGGGCCCCCCACGCCCCAAUGAGUGCAUCCUCCCUUUGGUAUAUGGCGAAGUCCUGGGUCCUCAGCACAAAAUGCAGACGGUGCCCCCUUGUGUGUUUUGUAAGCUGCAGAAUCCCUGUCGGGGGGGGGGGGGCAGGGGAAGGGGACAAAUCCUGUGUAACAUCGAGGGUUUUAUAGAGCCUUGGAGCUCUCUGCUGCUUUCUUUUAAGGCUAGUGAGUUAAAAAUGUUCGAGGCCAGAUAGUAGGAGCUGGUCCCGAGGGCUGGCACUGCCCGUCCAACCACAUCUCCUAGGAGCCGGGGGCUGCUUCCAAACAGCUGAACCUUGAAGCUGGUGGAGAUGUGAGCAGGUCACCAAGGGUUAAGGAGAGAGGGGAAGGGAGGGCCCUUGCCAGCCGCCUCUUUGUGUGCUUACCAGGGGCUUUCGUGCCCACGCAGUUGUCUCUGGGCAGGACCACCGCUGACUGCCAGGUGUCCGCGCUCCGGGUUUGGCUGUUGGUAGCUGGAGUGUCAUUUACAGUGGGUCUCCAGCACGCUCCCUCACAUUUUUCCCCUAAUGACCACCCAGAGACCCGACUGAACAGAAAUUGCAAACAGGUAGAGGAGGUCGAAAUAGAUGAUCAAGUGAAGGCUGUGGGGGGAGCAGGGCGCUGGAGGGGGCAGGUGGCUCUCAGCUCCGCACUCGUAGGGAAUGGGCCAAGGCUCUUCCUAAGAAGCAACUCCAAAGGCUUCUAGAAAAUAGCUCGAGAAGCCAGGUCUAGAAGGAAAGCUGUAAAGGGCUUCAUGGUAUGUAAAGGCACCCCCCCGUCCUCACAGCCCCCCAUCCAGAGCACCCACGUCAGGCUCUUGGAUGCUCGCUGAGCGGCCGUUCUCACGGGGGGCCUCUGAGGCUGCUCGGUGCAUGCGUGAGGCUCUAACCAGCACAGCCUGCCUUUAGUGCCCGCACGGCCAAGGGCUUCCCACGCAGGGCCCCGCUGAAUCCCCAGCAGCCCCGGGAAGUAGCAUGUUCCUGUCCUCAUGUUCGAAUGAAGAAAAUAAGGUUUAGAGCGGUUAAAUAACUUGCCCAAGGGCGGGCAGCGAGUGAGGGGAGGAGCAGGCUUCACGUCCAGGCCUAGGCCUGCCCAUCACUCGGGCUUUAAGGCGCUGCUUCUUGCCUUGCGGGAAUUUUCCUUGCGUCGCCAGAAUCCUCAGUCCACGCUGCGUCUCAAUGGCACAGCCACCUUGAAAUGGUCUUGCUUCCACAGCCCCCUCCGCGGCCCGUCAGAGCCGCUCAGUAGUUUCUGAGAGGCCAGGUCGAGUGGGGGCUGAACCUCCCGACCAUCCCUGUGGUUCACGAGCGACAUCCUCCGCACUCCCAGCAGUCACUGGAAUUUCUGCUGUGGGAAUUUGGGGAGAGUCUUGAGGCGUGGCAGAUGCAAGAAUCUGUGAUUUCUGCUCUCCAUUCUGUGAGUCAGGUCAUCAGGCAGAGCAAGGCGGGAACAAUUUCUUUCUGCUCCACUGUGUCUGGUCCUCGACCCAAGAGGCCCAAACGGCUGGAUUUGGCUAAGGUGGUCUGACUGGCCGUAGUGUGGGGCCCUGGGUUCUGUCUGCCAGCAGGAUCCCUCCCCUCUUUUUCGCGUGACAUCCACUGAAAUGGGGUGGAAAUGUCCAAAAUGACUUUUUCACUCGUGCAUCUGAUGCUUCCAUGUUCUCCUUUAAUGGCCUCUCUUCAUAGAGUAACUUCAUCUCCUUACAUUGUUGUUCCGGGCUCCGCAAAGCCACUGUCCAUGCUCCUCCUUGUCCAUGGUACCUGUCCUGCCCUGAGCCCCAUCUGUGGGGAGCUGCCACAUUUGGCCCCCACUGUAUUACAUGACCUUGCCCAUUGGGCCAGGAUCCAGUGGAAGCUGACCAGUGACUUUUGAAAUCACCUGGUUGGCUCAAAAAUAUAAGGAAAACCAGUCAGACCAGUCGGAUUCCUCUUUGGGGAAACUCAAACCAAAACAUCAGACUGUAUCGGCACAGUGUGUGUGUGACAGGAUAGCGUGAGGGCAAGUAGGGCUUGGAUGGGCCGAUGUGCUGGCCUGAAUGAGGCUGAAGAAGGGACGUAGAGAUAGAAGAAAAACAAGCCGUGACAUGGAGAGACCUCCGAGUGGAGGGAACCAUGAGCCUGUCAUUGGCGAUGGGAGAAAGGAGGGGAUGGCCGGAGCAGAGCUGGGACCCAUGAAAGCCUGGGGGUGGAGCCAGUCCCAGAGGUGCCCUGGUGUCCCAGAGCUCCUGGGCCCGCCUGGCCCAUGUGAGUCACUGCAACAAACUUGUUCCUUAUUCCCUUGGCUGUCAGUUGGCUUAGAGGGGGCCACGUGACUUCAAUCUGCCAAUAAAAAUUAGGAGGAAAUGGGCUGGAGGUCCUUCUGGGAAGAAUUUUGCUUUUUGAUGAAGGAUGGUGAAGAGGCCUGGCCCUUCUUCCUGCUUUGGACAUGGAUGUUUGAGGAUGUGAUACUUAGAGCUGUAGCAGCCAUCUUGGGACCAUGAGGCAACAAGAUCAAGGGAAGAAGCCAACGUACCAAAGUUGGCCCAGCAGACGGACAAAAAGAGCCUGGGUCCUAGAUGACAUCGUUGAGCCACUAUACCUAUCCUGGAACCACCUACUUCCAGUCUUAUUGAUACAUUAAUUAAAUGUCUUUAUUUUCUAAGCAGAUUUCUGCUAUUUGAAGGCUAAGACAUUCUUAGCCAGUAUAGCACUCCUCUGAACCUGUCCGUCAUCAACUCCUUAGAGCCCCAUGGCUCUUGGUUUAGAUCCAAAUGAGAAAUCACCACAAAUUUAAACAGUGGAAAUCUUAACUUAUGUGGUAGGAAAUACAAGUCAAGAUUUCUCACAGCCUACAGAGCAAUUCCAGCACCUAGUCCCAACUCCCAGGGCCUGUUGGACGCAAAUGAGGAAAGGUAGAUUCAGGAAAGUUCUAGAUACAUGAGCAUGAGUCUUCUAAAAUGGGGCUCAAUGAUGAAUUUUGGGAUGAACAAGUGCAGUGAGGGGAGAGGGGGAGAGCCUAAGCAUGGGCCAGAAAGCCAUGGAAAGCACACAGAAGGAGCAGCAAGCUGGAAUGGACAAAUGGCGGGUGGGUUGGAUCACUUCUGUGGGAGGCCAGGGUCCACAGCAAGAUUUCACAAGUGCCAAGUACUGGCUGGGAGGAGUUUACAGCAACUAGAAUUAAACUGGUGGAAAACGAGGCCUUUCGUUAACUCUCCAGCCAGCCUUCCUGACAUUUUAGAUCCUUUUAGGAACAGGGCCUGAAUUGUGGCCCUUGCCUGCGUGCAGGCGCUCCCAUGUGCUUCAUUCUUUGUCUCUUCUCCACCUCUCCCUCUCUCUCCACCCUUUCUUCCUGUCUUCUCAGCAAAGCCAGGAGCCAGAAAUGCUCAAGAUCUGAAUCUCUUUCACCUCAGCUGGAGAGUAAAGAUAGUGGGAGGCAAGGAUGUCUUAUUGAAGCUUCGAAUUCUGGUCUGGGGAUCAUCCUGGUUCCCUUGGGAGGGGGGAAAGCCGUCUGUUGAUAAGGACUAGAUUAAGCUUUCUUCUGCCCCAACUUUGACCAAGCAGUGGGGACGGGGGUGCUUCUUCAACACAACAUAAGAAAAUGUGUGGUCCUCCCUUCCCUUGUGCAAUGAGACGUUGAACUUGAGCACUCUAGGCCUUCCUCUUUCGAUUUCUAGUUUCAGGUACACAACAAAGAUAAUCUGACAUCCUCCUCAUGGAUCCUACGAAUAUUUCAUUGCAUUCAGAACUUGAGAAAAGUCUCACCAACCCAUUUCCCAUCCCCACAUCAUCAGUAGUAGAAACAUGUGGCCUGUAGAAGUUCAUCAAAUGAAUGGGGGCCAAACACGGUUGAGUUACCAGCAGACUCUGCCACUAAGCCUCGUCCCUCUGGGUGCAGCUCUUAUGCACCCUGCGUAUCUUAGGAGUUCUGCCCCCAAAGGCCAAAACCAGGUCAACCCCGACAUUUGCCCACUGCGUUACUUCACUCACUCAGUAGAAGUACUGAACACCUAGUAGAAUUACAAGCUAAACUUAUAAAAGCAAUGAUACUAUUAGGAAGAUUAGUCAUUAAAGACACACACAAAAAAUUCCUGACCUCAUCAGAGAAAUGAAUGAAAGCUUUGGGAUGGAGGAAGCAAAAAGGGUAACCUCCUACUUUGAUGUGAUUAAUGCUUCACUGUGAUGCUUAAUACACCGUGAAUUCCCCCACCCCCACAGUUGGCCCGUACACCAUGAAGGUUUCUCUGAAAUCCAGUAAGGAAAAGAACUUGAAGGCUUUUCCUCCUCCUUGGUAAUCAGGGUUUUUUCUCCAGUAUGAAUUUGCCUGAUUAUGGAUUAAACGCUCUCCCACAGUCUGUACAACACGAGAGUGUCUUUCCCGUGAACUCUCCAAUGAUAAGAAAGGGCUACACUGUCACCACAUGAUUUUCCACACCGAUUAGGCUCACAGGCUUCUCUCUAGGAUGAAUGAUCUCAGGUUCAAUCCACUCCACGCUUCCCCUAGACAGUUCUCCAUAUUCAUUACAUAUGACCGGCUCAAGUCCGAACUAAAUUAGCUGAUAUUGUCUGAGUCUGGAACUGGGAUUGUAGGUUCUUCCUCAUCCAUUAUGCUUACAGAGCUCCUCCCUGCCCUGAAAUCCCAGAAGUCUAAUUAGCUGUGAGCACGGUCUAAAAGCAUUUUCCCAUCCAUUACGUGCAUGUGGUUUUUCUCCAGUGUGAAUUCUCUGACGUUGAAUGAGCUCUGCUUUCCCAAAAGCCUUCACAUUUAUUGCAUUUGUAGAGUUCCUGUGGCUUAGGAAGGUGCUAGAAUGCUUGCAGAGGCCUCCACAGAUCGGGCUUUCCCUAAGAUGAAUGUUUCAGUGUUCAGGAGGAUGGGAGCCCCAGCAAAAAUCGCCUGUAUUUGUAAUGCAAGGUCUCUCUCCAAUACAAAUACUGUAAUCCUGAAUAAAUUCUGACUUCUAAGAUUUGGCCACAUAUAUUUGGGGGUCUUCUCACUUCUAAAAGAUACAGACAGAAUUGCACCUUAUCCCCAUCUUCAUCCCAUUCAUGGGAUGGGGUCCCUGGUCGUUCUCUGGGUUGUCUCCCUAGUCACAUCUCUCUCCAUGCUUGGGGGCCAGCUCGUCCUCUGAUAGGGACCUCCUCACUGCAUUCACCUAUGAGUCUACUGCUGCAGAAAGUUCCUGCUCAAGGCCCGCUUGCUCUGGGUCCCAGCCUCACAAUAUAAAAUCCCAGCAAAUGUAAAUCCCAGCCAUUCUCUCUCAAAGAACCAGAACAUGUCUUGAGCGGAGAGUAUAAAAUUUGGGGAGAAGACUUAAAAGUCAGAGUGCCUUUGGGUGAAUCUAGAAAAUGAUGGCUGUGACAGAUGGCUGGUUACUUAUAUUCUCUUUUUCUUUCUUAACGAACCCUCUUGUGGUCACACUGAGAAUGUACCCAUUAAAAUUACCUUCCCUAGUGACCGGGAGGGAGCACAUGGGGUCUUGCAAGGAGGCUGUUCCCACUCUGUUCCUUGAUCUGGAUGCUGGUCAAAUUGAUGUGUUCACUUUGUGAAGAUCCCUAAGUGGGAUCCUUAGGACUUGUGCGCCUUCUAGGAGGAAAGUUAAAAAUGAGUACGUUCCCCAUACUGCCGCCGUGCAGCCAGCAAAUGAGAUGUAAGCAGAACUGGGCAUCCACGAGAACUCAUUAAAGUGGGGGACUCCGGAGCAGGAACCUUUUGCCUUUUCCCUGCCUGCCCCUCUCCUUCUCGCGGAUCUGGGAGGUGCCGCCCGAAGGCGCAGCAGCCAUCCUGGGAGGUGUGAAGGAGGGUGCCCCUUCCCUGUGGCCAUGAACUUCUCACCUCUGGAAUUUUCAGUUUGUUUAGUCUAGGCAAUGAAAAGUGACUCGUUAGGCUAGGCAUCUUUCCCUGUGUUCAUUGCCUCUUACGUUUUAAUUUUGUUCACCUUUCUCUUUGAUCCUUUUGCAAAAGUUCUGCAUUCAUUGAAGGUAUUGUCCCUUCACGUGUCAGAUGACUCGUGGCCAUCCUUCCAAAUGUCUCUUGAGUUUGUGGGGUUUUUUAAGCCAAACAAAUUACCCCAUUUUUAUUGUAUGGCUUCUGAAUGUUGCAUGUUCAUACUUUUCCCACUCCAGAGCUGUUAAAACGUUAAUCCUUUCUGCCUGCUGGUACUUCAUAGUUUUGUUGUUUUAUGAUAAAAUCUUGGAUCCCCGUGGAAUUUACCUUGAGGUAAGGCCUGGGGGUGAAGGUCCGGAUCUUCCCCUCCCCAGUCACCUCUCAGCACCGUCUGGGGAAUAGCUCCCUUUUCCCAGCCGUUGUGAAAUGCCACUGUGAUUAUGGGUUCAGUUCCCAUUUGAAUGUGGGUCUUUUUCUUGAAUUUCUAUUUCUGUACCUUGUCUGAUACAUAAUUAUUUUGACUCUUUUUCUUUAUAAGUUGUUUUCCUAUCUGAUAAGGCUACUGCCUCAUUGUUCUUUUCCAGAACUCUCACAUGACACUAAGGUGAAUAAGUGGGGGUUGGCGGUAGUCACUUAGAGAUUUCCAUGAUGUCAGACUGUACAGAGCCUCCUGCAUACAGAGAACAUUCUAACAAUAUCCUUAGUUUGAGCAAUCUCCCCUUUUCCUCUGCAGUGUAUUCUUGGAGCCAUUUGGUAAGCAAGAGUCAUGUUUUCUCGUGAUAAUUACUCAUAUCCAGAAACUCAACAUCAAACAAGUUUCGGUUCUGACAAAUACAUCAUAGAAGCAAAAACAAAACUUAGGAUGGUCUUUAGCAAUAUAAAAGGGCAACAUGAUGCUCCAAGUCCUACGCCGUAGGCAUAUGGGGACUCAAGAUAAUAAUGUCACAGGCGGGCCCCUGGGUGGCUCAGUUGGUUAAGCGACUGCCUUCGGCUCAGGUCAUGAUCCUGGAGUCCCGGGAUCGAGUCCCGCAUCGGGCUCCCUGCUCGGCGGGGAGUCUGCUUCUCCCUCUGACCCUCCUCCCUCUCAUGCUCUCUGUCUCUCAUUCUCUCUGUCUCAAAUAAAUAAAUAAAUAAAUAAAUAAAAAAGAUUCAUCACAGAUAAUGCAAAAUUGGCUUCACAUUUGAAAGUCAAUCAAUAUAAUUUAAAAAAAUAAAAAAAUAAAAAAAUAAAUUAAAAAAUAA